AUUGAACGCUGGCGGCAGGCCUAACACAUGCAAGUCGAGCGGAUGAAGGGAGCUUGCUCCUGGAUUCAGCGGCGGACGGGUGAGUAAUGCCUAGGAAUCUGCCUGGUAGUGGGGGAUAACGUCCGGAAACGGGCGCUAAUACCGCAUACGUCCUGAGGGAGAAAGUGGGGGAUCUUCGGACCUCACGCUAUCAGAUGAGCCUAGGUCGGAUUAGCUAGUUGGUGGGGUAAAGGCCUACCAAGGCGACGAUCCGUAACUGGUCUGAGAGGAUGAUCAGUCACACUUGAACUGAGACACGGUCCAGACUCCUACGGGAGGCAGCAGUGGGGAAUAUUGGACAAUGGGCGAAAGCCUGAUACAGCCAUGCCGCGUGUGUGAAGAAGGUCUUCGGAUUGUAAAGCACUUUAAGUUGGGAGGAAGGGCAGUAAGUUAAUACCUUGCUGUUUUGACGUUACCAACAGAAUAAGCACCGGCUAACUUCGUG
This 484-nucleotide ribosomal RNA is filed under the name uncultured bacterium. RNAcentral's name for it is "partial 16S ribosomal RNA". It matches the Rfam family "Bacterial small subunit ribosomal RNA", at positions 30 to 507 of the family's 1533-position model. The record is from RNAcentral.